GAAACGCGAUAGUUAAUGUGAAUUGCAGAAUUCAGUGAAUCAUCGAGUCUUUGAACGCACAUUGCGCCCAUAGGUAUUCCUUUGGGCAUGUCUGUUUGAGCGUCAUUACAACCCUCAGCUAACCGCUGGUUUUGAACCUGAACGGGUGACACCGCGCCGGUUUUAAAGUUGGAAGCUCUGCUGGCCGCUCUGCCCAACCAGAACAUAGUAAGCACUACUUGUCCGGGUGAAGCUGAACGGUACGGCCUGAACAAAACCUACCCACUCUCAAGGUUUGACCUCAGAUCAGACAAGGAUACCCGCUGAACUUAAGC
RNAcentral lists this unclassified non-coding RNA (314 nucleotides) under plant metagenome. Its description in RNAcentral is "partial contains 5.8S ribosomal RNA, internal transcribed spacer 2, and large subunit ribosomal RNA". The stretch from base 1 to 105 matches the Rfam family "5.8S ribosomal RNA", at positions 50 to 154 of the family's 154-position model. The record is from RNAcentral.